ACUCCUACGGGAGGCAGCAGUGAGGGAUAUUGCACAAUGGGGGAAACCCUGAUACAGCGACGCCGCGUGGGUGAUGAAGGCUUUCGGGUCGUAAAACCCUUUUUGGCAUGACGAGAACGGACGGUAGUGCCAGAAUAAGUCUCGGCUAACUACGUGCCAGCAGCCGCGGUAAAACGUAGGAGGCAAGCGUUAUCCGGAGUUACUGGGCGUAAAGGGUGCGUAGGCGGCUCAUCAAGUGGGACGUGAAAGCUCACGGCUAAACUGUGAGAGGACGACUCAGACUGAAGGGCUAGAGGGUGUCAGAGGCGUGCGGAAUUCGGGGUGUAGCGGUGAAAUGU
Molecule: ribosomal RNA, 338 nt
Filed under: uncultured bacterium
Lineage: Bacteria
Description: bacterial SSU rRNA
Rfam family: Bacterial small subunit ribosomal RNA
Source: RNAcentral